This 119-nucleotide ribosomal RNA is filed under the name Musa acuminata subsp. malaccensis (wild Malaysian banana). The record is from RNAcentral. Lineage: Eukaryota; Viridiplantae; Streptophyta; Magnoliopsida; Zingiberales; Musaceae.
GGUUGCUAACAUAUCGGUACUAAAGUAUUGGAUCCCAUGAGAACUCCGAAGUUAAGUGUUCUUGGGCAAGAGUAGUACUAGGAUGGGUGACCCCUUGGGAAGUCCUCGUGUUGUACUCC